GGGCGUGCUAAUCUGCGAUAAGCGCCGGUAAGGUGAUAUGAACCGUUAUAACCGGCGAUACCCGAAUGGGGAAACCCAGUGUGAUUCGUCACACUAUCAUUAACUGAAUCCAUAGGUUAAUGAGGCGAACCGGGGGAACUGAAACAUCUAAGUACCCCGAGGAAAAGAAAUCAACCGAGAUUCCCCCAGUAGCGGCGAGCGAACGGGGAGGAGCCCAGAGCCUGAAUCAGCAUGUGUGUUAGUGGAAGCGUCUGGAAAGGCGCGCGAUACAGGGUGACAGCCCCGUACACAAAAGCGCAUGUGCUGUGAGCUCGAUGAGUAGGGCGGGACACGUGGUAUCCUGUCUGAAUAUGGGGGGACCAUCCUCCAAGGCUAAAUACUCCUGACUGACCGAUAGUGAACCAGUACCGUGAGGGAAAGGCGAAAAGAACCCCGGCGAGGGGAGUGAAAAAGAACCUGAAACCGUGUACGUACAAGCAGUGGGAGCACAGGUUUACCUGUGUGACUGCGUACCUUUUGUAUAAUGGGUCAGCGACUUAUAUUCUGUAGCAAGGUUAACCGAAUAGGGGAGC
This 572-nucleotide ribosomal RNA is filed under the name Salmonella enterica. RNAcentral's name for it is "partial 23S ribosomal RNA". It matches the Rfam family "Bacterial large subunit ribosomal RNA", at positions 54 to 666 of the family's 2925-position model. The record is from RNAcentral. Lineage: Bacteria; Pseudomonadati; Pseudomonadota; Gammaproteobacteria; Enterobacterales; Enterobacteriaceae.